RNAcentral lists this ribosomal RNA (746 nucleotides) under uncultured archaeon. RNAcentral describes it as "bacterial SSU rRNA". It matches the Rfam family "Archaeal small subunit ribosomal RNA", at positions 125 to 854 of the family's 1478-position model. The record is from RNAcentral.
GACAACCCCGGGAAACUGGGGCUAAUACCCGAUAGAUGAGGAGGCCUGGAAUGGUUCGUAGUCGAAAAGGCGUUGAAACCAUGCUUUUCGACGUCGCCUAAGGAUGGGGCCGCGCCCGAUCAGGUUGUUGGUGGGGUAACGGCUCACCAAGCCUAUAACCGGUACGGGCCGUGAGAGCGGGAGCCCGGAGAUGGGCACUGAGACAAGGGCCCAGGCCCUACGGGGCGCAGCAGUCGCGAAAACUCCGCAAUGCGCGAAAGCGUGACGGGGCUACCCCGAGUGCCGUCCGCUGAGGAUGGCUUUUCCCCGGUGUAAUGAGCCGGGGGAAUAAGGAGAGGGCAAGACUGGUGUCAGCCGCCGCGGUAAUACCAGCUCUCCGAGUGGUAGGGAUGACUAUUGGGCUUAAAGCGUCCGUAGCCGGCUUAGCAAGUCUCCUGUCAAAUUCAGCGACCUAAUCGUUGAGCCGCGGGAGAUACUACUAGGCUAGGAGGCGGGAGAGGCCGACGGUAUUCUCGGGGUAGGGGUGAAAUCCUAUAAUCCCGGGAGGACCACCAGUGGCGAAGGCUGUCGGCUAGAACGCGCUCGACGGUGAGGGACGAAAGCUGAGGGAGCGAACCGGAUUAGAUACCCGGGUAGUCCCAGCUGUAAACGAUGCGGGCUAGGUGUUGGGGUGGCUACGAGCCACUUCAGUGCCGCAGGGAAGCCAUUAAGCCCGCCGCCUGGGGAGUACGGCCGCAAGGCUGAAA